UACAGAGGGGGCCAGCGUUAUUCGGAAUUAUUGGGCGUAAAGAGCUCGUAGGCGGCUUAGUAAGUCGGGUGUGAAACCUCCAGGCUCAACCUGGAGACGCCACCCGAUACUGCUAUAGCUAGAGUCCAGUAGGGGAGUGCGGAAUUCCCGGUGUAGCGGUGAAAUGCGCAGAUAUCGGGAGGAACACCAGCGGCGAAGGCGGCACUCUGGGCUGGUACUGACGCUCAGGAGCGAAAGCGUGGGUAGCGAACAGG
This 254-nucleotide ribosomal RNA is filed under the name uncultured bacterium. RNAcentral describes it as "partial 16S ribosomal RNA". It matches the Rfam family "Bacterial small subunit ribosomal RNA", at positions 524 to 776 of the family's 1533-position model. The record is from RNAcentral.